RNAcentral lists this ribosomal RNA (442 nucleotides) under uncultured bacterium. RNAcentral describes it as "partial 16S ribosomal RNA". It matches the Rfam family "Bacterial small subunit ribosomal RNA", at positions 338 to 795 of the family's 1533-position model. The record is from RNAcentral.
CCUACGGGUGGCUGCAGUGGGGAAUAUUGCGCAAUGGGGGCAACCCUGACCCAGCAACGCCGCGUGAAGGAUGAAGGCUUUCGGAUUGUAAACUUCUUUUAAGAGGGAAGAGGAGGACACGGUACCACUUGAAAACGCCACGUCUAACUACGUGCCAGCAGCCGCGGUAAUGGGGAGGUGGCAAGCUUUUUCCGGAUUCACUGGGUGUAAAGGGCGUGCAGCCGGGAAAACAAGUCAGAUGUGAAAUCCUGCGGCUCAACCGCAGAACUGCAUUUGAAACUGUUUUUCUAGAGUAGCGGAGAGGUAAUCGGAAUUCCUGGUGUAGCGGUGAAAUGCGUAGAUAUAAGGAAGAACACCAGUGGCGAAGGCGAAUGACUAGACGGCAACUGACGCUGAGGCGCGAAAGCGUGGGGAGCAAACAGGAUUAGAUACCCCUGUAGUC